Molecule: long non-coding RNA, 446 nt
Organism: Hyla sarda
Lineage: Eukaryota; Metazoa; Chordata; Amphibia; Anura; Hylidae
Exons: 2
Source: RefSeq, a predicted model, not a curated record
GGAGGUAACAGCGUGUCACACAUGUGAUGUCAUAACCAUUGUCCACCAAAGAGCAGCACUGAGCAGAAAUAACACGGCUCCUGUUCAUUCUCCAUCAGUGAGGGGCCGGUGCUGGACACUGUGUAGGGACGCGGGAAUGCAAAGUCAUACACAUGACUGUGACUGAUGCACUAUCUCCAGGACAUGGAGUAGCAUUUCGGGACCUACAGCAAGACGUUGGAUGAAGGCACAGGCCUAGGAAUCAUGCACAUACACAGAAACAUUUGCCCAAAUUCUAGAGGUAACCUCCUUUAGUAUGCCCAGAGGAAGGGCCAUACAGUAGCCAUGGAUUCCCUACAGGUUUCCUCCCCUCUGGAGGUUUUUCCUGUCCUGAGUAUUAGUUACUGUCCGCUCUUUGUGAGUGAUGGGAGGUUACAAAAAAUCCCCUACACAAACAUUUUAAUAAU